GGUUAAGCGACUAAGCGUACACGGUGGAUGCCCUGGCAGUCAGAGGCGAUGAAGGACGUGCUAAUCUGCGAAAAGCGUCGGUAAGGUGAUAUGAACCGUUAUAACCGGCGAUGUCCGAAUGGGGAAACCCAGUGCAAUUCGUUGCACUAUCGUUAACUGAAUACAUAGGUUAACGAGGCGAACCGGGGGAACUGAAACAUCUAAGUACCCCGAGGAAAAGAAAUCAACCGAGAUUCCCCCAGUAGCGGCGAGCGAACGGGGAGCAGCCCAGAGUCUGAAUCAGCUUGUGUGUUAGUGGAACGGUCUGGAAAGUCCGACGGUACAGGGUGAUAGUCCCGUACACCAAAAUGCACAGGCUGUGAACUCGAAGAGUAGGGCGGGACACGUGGUAUCCUGUCUGAAUAUGGGGGGACCAUCCUCCAAGGCUAAAUACUCCUGACUGACCGAUAGUGAACCAGUACCGUGAGGGAAAGGCGAAAAGAACCCCGGCGAGGGGAGUGAAAAAGAACCUGAAACCGUGUACGUACAAGCAGUGGGAGCACCUUCGGGUGUGACUGCGUACCUUUUGUAUAAUGGGUCAGCGACUUAUAUUCUGUAGCAAGGUUAACCGUAUAGGGGAGCCGCAGGGAAACCGAGUCUUAACUGGGCGUUAAGUUGCAGGGUAUAGACCCGAAACCCGGUGAUCUAGCCAUGGGCAGGUUGAAGGUUGGGUAACACUAACUGGAGGACCGAACCGACUAAUGUUGAAAAAUUAGCGGAUGACUUGUGGCUGGGGGUGAAAGGCCAAUCAAACCGGGAGAUAGCUGGUUCUCCCCGAAAGCUAUUUAGGUAGCGCCUCGUGAAUUCAUCUUCGGGGGUAGAGCACUGUUUCGGCUAGGGGGUCAUCCCGACUUACCAACCCGAUGCAAACUACGAAUACCGAAGAAUGUUAUCACGGGAGACACACGGCGGGUGCUAACGUCCGUCGUGAAGAGGGAAACAACCCAGACCGCCAGCUAAGGUCCCAAAGUCAUGGUUAAGUGGGAAACGAUGUGGGAAGGCACAGACAGCCAGGAUGUUGGCUUAGAAGCAGCCAUCAUUUAAAGAAAGCGUAAUAGCUCACUGGUCGAGUCGGCCUGCGCGGAAGAUGUAACGGGGCUAAACCAUGCACCGAAGCUGCGGCAGCGACACUAUGUGUUGUUGGGUAGGGGAGCGUUCUGUAAGCCUGCGAAGGUGACCUGUGAGGGUUGCUGGAGGUAUCAGAAGUGCGAAUGCUGACAUAAGUAACGAUAAAGCGGGUGAAAAGCCCGCUCGCCGGAAGACCAAGGGUUCCUGUCCAACGUUAAUCGGGGCAGGGUGAGUCGACCCCUAAGGCGAGGCCGAAAGGCGUAGUCGAUGGGAAACAGGUUAAUAUUCCUGUACUUGGUGUUACUGCGAAGGGGGGACGGAGAAGGCUAUGUUAGCCGGGCGACGGUUGUCCCGGUUUAAGCAUGUAGGCUGAUUGUCCAGGCAAAUCCGGAUAAUCAAGGCUGAGGUGUGAUGACGAGGCACUACGGUGCUGAAGUAACAAAUGCCCUGCUUCCAGGAAAAGCCUCUAAGCAUCAGGUAACAUUAAAUCGUACCCCAAACCGACACAGGUGGUCAGGUAGAGAAUACCAAGGCGCUUGAGAGAACUCGGGUGAAGGAACUAGGCAAAAUGGUGCCGUAACUUCGGGAGAAGGCACGCUGGUGUGUAGGUGAAGUCCCUGCGGAUGGAGCUGAGACCAGUCGAAGAUACCAGCUGGCUGCAACUGUUUAUUAAAAACACAGCACUGUGCAAACACGAAAGUGGACGUAUACGGUGUGACGCCUGCCCGGUGCCGGAAGGUUAAUUGAUGGGGUUAUCCGUAAGGAGAAGCUCUUGAUCGAAGCCCCGGUAAACGGCGGCCGUAACUAUAACGGUCCUAAGGUAGCGAAAUUCCUUGUCGGGUAAGUUCCGACCUGCACGAAUGGCGUAAUGAUGGCCAGGCUGUCUCCACCCGAGACUCAGUGAAAUUGAACUCGCUGUGAAGAUGCAGUGUACCCGCGGCAAGACGGAAAGACCCCGUGAACCUUUACUAUAGCUUGACACUGAACAUUGAGCCUUGAUGUGUAGGAUAGGUGGGAGGCUUUGAAGCGUGGACGCCAGUCUGCGUGGAGCCAACCUUGAAAUACCACCCUUUAAUGUUUGAUGUUCUAACGUUGGCCCCUGACCGGGGUUGCGGACAGUGUCUGGUGGGUAGUUUGACUGGGGCGGUCUCCUCCCAAAGCGUAACGGAGGAGCACGAAGGUUAGCUAAUCCUGGUCGGACAUCAGGAGGUUAGUGCAAUGGCAUAAGCUAGCUUGACUGCGAGCGUGACGGCGCGAGCAGGUGCGAAAGCAGGUCAUAGUGAUCCGGUGGUUCUGAAUGGAAGGGCCAUCGCUCAACGGAUAAAAGGUACUCCGGGGAUAACAGGCUGAUACCGCCCAAGAGUUCAUAUCGACGGCGGUGUUUGGCACCUCGAUGUCGGCUCAUCACAUCCUGGGGCUGAAGUAGGUCCCAAGGGUAUGGCUGUUCGCCAUUUAAAGUGGUACGCGAGCUGGGUUUAGAACGUCGUGAGACAGUUCGGUCCCUAUCUGCCGUGGGCGCUGGAGAAUUGAGGGGGGCUGCUCCUAGUACGAGAGGACCGGAGUGGACGCAUCACUGGUGUUCGGGUUGUCAUGCCAAUGGCACUGCCCGGUAGCUAAAUGCGGAAGAGAUAAGUGCUGAAAGCAUCUAAGCACGAAACUUGCCCCGAGAUGAGUUCUCCCUGAGACUUUAAGUCUCCUGAAGGAACGUUGAAGACGACGACGUUGAUAGGCCGGGUGUGUAAGCGCAGCGAUGCGUUGAGCUAACCGGUACUAAUGAACCGUGAGGCUUAACCUU
Molecule: ribosomal RNA, 2902 nt
Filed under: Klebsiella pneumoniae
Lineage: Bacteria; Pseudomonadati; Pseudomonadota; Gammaproteobacteria; Enterobacterales; Enterobacteriaceae
Description: 23S ribosomal RNA
Rfam family: Bacterial large subunit ribosomal RNA
Source: RNAcentral